UGCCUUAGUAUUUAUCCAGAGUUUCUUUUG
This 30-nucleotide non-coding RNA is filed under the name Mus musculus (house mouse). Lineage: Eukaryota; Metazoa; Chordata; Mammalia; Rodentia; Muridae. The record is from RNAcentral.